AUUGCAUGUGAUAACUUUAUGAAAUCCAGAGUGUCAACCGCGUUUGUGUUUUCCUUCGGUCGGCGUUUACCACUCAUUUCCAUCUCUCUUCUCUCUGUUUCCUCCCGUUUUUCCCUUUCCUCUAUCCAAACAAAUUUCACCUAAUCUUCCCGGCAAAAGACCCUAAUCCCAAUUUAACCACAAACCGUGUAGUCCGUGUGUCACCGUCCAGUACUACUCUCACCCAAGCAGGCUUAACUAAUGAGAUCCGGUGCGUACGCUGCAACUCUAAUAUAAGAUUGUGAGUCACCUAGGGAGGGGUUGUAGUAAUACAUGGAUCGAGCUGAACCUGGCAAUGCAUCGAUUGCCAGGAUUUUCUGCUUAUAAGAAGCGGGUCGACUCUAAGAAAAAACGCGCUGUUUCCUCCGUUAAUUCUAAGCCGAGGCUGGAGCGAUUGAAUGCACGGAAGGGUAUUAAAUACGAACCGUCUAUGAUUGAGUUUAGUAAGGAUAAUAAGAGUUUUCGAAUCGAAGGAAAAGGAGAGGUUGAGUUCCUUGAAUGUUUCGAGAAGUUAGGGUUUUCGGGUCCUGAUGAUUUUGCUAUACCUGCUGAUGAAUGGGAUGCUAUGAUUGUUCGUUCCUCCACGGAUAAUAAUCAUGUUGUUGAUGUUGCUAGUAACGUUAGCAGGGCAAUUGAUCUAGGUAAUAACAAAAGUAAGGAUAAUAUUCUUGGAUAUUAUGAUGAUAGUUGUAAAGCUAGUGAUGUAAUUCAGUCAGUUAAGUUAAAUGAUGAUAUUAGUGAUGUGUGUGAAACAAAUAGUAGAAUGAACGGAGUUGUUUUAAAUGGAAAUGAACCUGUAAGUUUACUUGGAUGUGGUGGUGGUGGAGGGAUUAGGGGUUUAAGGCCGCCGCCUUUUCUGGCUCCUCCACCGGUCAUGUCGCUGCCAAUAGUUGAUGGUUCAUGCUCUACUUGGGAUAUAUUUAAGGCAUUUGGCCCGGAAGAUCAUAGGGAAUCAGGGCUUUGUAGAUCUGAGGUUGUUAACGGCGAUGACCUAUGUAUUAAGAACGAGGAGGAUGAGGAGGAGGACAAUAGUACUAGGAGGAGAAUAAGAGAGACUAGCUUGCUUUCAGUAUCGAGUUCUUUCACCAAUACUUCGAACGAUGAUGACUCUUCCAGCAGCACGACAGAGCGUACGUCUAUCAUCUCACCGAAUGGGAGAUUCACGCGCUUCAUUACAGGAUGGGAAAAGGGUGAUCUCCUAGGACGUGGAUCAUUUGGAUCCGUUUAUGAAGGAAUUUCAGAUGAUGGUUUCUUUUUUGCUGUGAAGGAAGUGUCAUUACUUGAUCAAGGUGAUGGGGGAAGGCAAUGUCUAUCUCAACUCGAACAGGAGAUUGAACUUCUAAGUCGGUUCGAACACGAGAACAUAGUCCGAUAUUAUGGAACCGACAAGAAUGAUUCAAAAUUGUACAUCUUUCUUGAGCUGGUCCCACAAGGAUCUCUGUUGAAUCUUUACCAGAAGUAUCACCUUCGAGAUACACAAGUAUCCGCCUACACAAGGCAGAUUUUACGUGGUUUGAAGUAUUUGCAUGACCAAAAUGUGGUUCACAGAGAUAUUAAAUGCGCUAAUAUAUUGGUGGAUACUAAUGGAUCAGUCAAGCUUGCUGAUUUUGGCCUUGCAAAGGCUACUAAGUUGAAUGAUGUCAAGUCUUUCAAGGGUACUGCACUCUGGAUGGCUCCUGAGGUUGUGAACAGGAAGAACCAAGGUUAUGGACUUCCAGCUGAUAUAUGGAGCCUUGGCUGUACUGUCCUAGAGAUGCUUACUCGCAAGUUUCCUUACUCCCACUUAGAUAAUCCAAUGCAGGCACUGUUUAGGAUUGGAAAAGGGGAACCUCCAGCUGUCCCUAAUACCCUUUCGAUAGAUGCACGAGGUUUUAUUAACCACUGUCUGCAAGUGGAUCCUAGUGCUCGUCCAACUGCUUCUCAGCUCUUGGAGCAUCCGUUUGUAAAACGAACACUUCCCUCUUCCUCAGGCUCAGCUUCUCCUCUCAAUCUAGGCAGGAGGCUUUGAAAUCUUGUUCUGACAAGGAUGGAUGGAGAUCAUGUCUACCUAAUUCACAUUCAAAAUGUUGGAUCUGGAAGAAUAUAAUCAGAUCAGUUCUUCCCAUUGGAUCCUCAAAAUUUUGGUGAAAAGUAAUCUGCACGCGCUCCCAGAAUCUGUAUUUGAACUCCGAGUUCAGCUAUUUGUUGUUUUGAAACCACGUUGAAGCUGUUUGCAGUUGUGGUCAAUGCCUUUGCUGCAGUGUAAUUUUGAGCCCCCACCCCCAUCAUUCUUUCCGCCUUCCAGACGUCUCUCUUCCACCCCACUAUGGGAGGAAGAAGAGGUCAGGUUUUGUGGUGUAUAUGCAGUUCAAUUCAUAGUUGAGUGCUUGAGCCGGUAUGGGAUGUAAAGAUAGAUGACCCAUUUGAAAUGUAUAUAUCACGAGAAGAGGCCCAGUUGCUUUCUUCCUCUCUUUCUUGUUUC
Molecule: RNA transcript, 2500 nt
Organism: Lycium barbarum (goji berry)
Lineage: Eukaryota; Viridiplantae; Streptophyta; Magnoliopsida; Solanales; Solanaceae
Gene name: mitogen-activated protein kinase kinase kinase 1-like
Exons: 10
Source: RefSeq, a predicted model, not a curated record